UGUUUAUUGAGUGGAAAAAAGACACAUAAA
This 30-nucleotide non-coding RNA is filed under the name Mus musculus (house mouse). The record is from RNAcentral. Lineage: Eukaryota; Metazoa; Chordata; Mammalia; Rodentia; Muridae.